CGGGGUGGAGUAAUGCUUGGGAAUCUAGCUUAUGAGGGGGAGUAACUACGGGAAACUGUAGCUAAUACCGCGUAGAAUCGGGAGAUGAAAGUGUGGGACCUUCGGGCCACAUGCCAUAGGAUGAGCCCAAGCGGGAUUAGGUAGUUGGUGAGGUAAAGGCUCACCAAGCCGACGAUCUCUAGCUGGUCUGAGAGGAUGACCAGCCACACUGGGACUGAGACACGGCCCAG
Molecule: ribosomal RNA, 230 nt
Filed under: uncultured bacterium
Lineage: Bacteria
Description: partial 16S ribosomal RNA
Rfam family: Bacterial small subunit ribosomal RNA
Source: RNAcentral